GGGAGUGCUAGAGCAUCUUGGACUUGACUUCUUUUUACUCCGGAGAAAAACAGCUGGGAGACUUGGGUUACUCCGCUAUGUGGAAAAGAGCCAGAGGCAGUCGAAGAGGAACAAGAACGCCUCGCCGCGCUUCGCCGUCGUUCAGGGGCGCCCCUCUCCACCGUGCUCUCCUGGCUCCCCUUCGCAUCUGACCCGUCCCGCUCAUCUCCUUCAUCGUUGGGCAUGCCUGAAGCCUAGUUACUCUGCUCCGACAACCUCUCUUCGCUCCUCAACACAUGCCUUCGCCCGCCACCCUCUCCACCUGGACAUCUGAGUGUGCAGCAGGUGCUGGCUAGAAUGAAGGAUGAGGAGAACCUGGUGAGCGAAGGGGAGGGGACAACAGUGCACGCUGCCAUAUCUUAGAUCCCGGUGGCAUUGCUCAGCAGCAUCGGUUCUGCAAUAGCAGCUGAGGGUAUUCCUGCCAAUGAGUUGUCAAACUUCAUCACCAGUGAACUCGGCGUCUCGACGGAGGAAUUCAGCGUCAGGGUCAUUGUCUCCUUCAAAGGCCUUCCUCCUCGCACGUGGUCCACCUCAACGGCUCAACACCUCCUUAACCACCACUGCUUGGUGGAGCGACUCAAGGAUGAGGCAGUCUUAAUAGAGUGUGCUGACCUCAUUGACCUCUGCGUUGUGGCUUGGUGUGAGCAGCAACUCUUCAGCAACAUCCCGCCAUAAAUCAUGGAAACAAGGAGUUUGAGAUACAAUGUCUCCAUCCGGCUCACCUUUCUUCGAACAUAAGGCGCUAGGCUACAUCGAGUGCCAUUGCCAUCGCUACAGCUGCUCCAGCUGUCACCAAACUAUGCAUCUGAUAAGUAUUGAUGGUAACUAAGGGCUCUUGUGCCUAAUUUUUUCGCUAAUUACUCCAUCUUUCUUGCUAAUUAUUCUCUUCGAUUUUUGUUGUGUUUCCUCUUUUUUCUAUGGCAUGAGCCCGUGCCCUUCCUAGUCAGGUUUGGGGAUUCUUUUCCCCUUGUUCUUGUUGCUUCUCUUGUUUCAGGUGGUUAACGAUCUCCAUGUUUGGCUGCUCUCAUGCUAGCUACUCUGGUCUUCUUGUUCUGGUGCAGUCGUGCGUGUGAUUUAGGAGCUAAUUUGGUCAAGUUUAAGGAACACUAUUUCCUCGUUUUAUGUGGUUGGUGUAUAGAUGGAAGGUCUAAGAGUGGGGGGCUUGUUUGUUUCUUGGCAAGCUGCAAUAUAUGAAAGUUUUAAAUUUCACUGCUGUUUAAUUGGUUAUUCCUAGAAUUCGUGUUCUGUUGGCCGGGCUGUGCAAGGAAAAAUGAUUGUUUGGUAAGGCUUUAUUAUUCAUUAAUCGUUCAGAAAGUGUGAAAUAUAAAGGGAAGCACAUCGAAUGCCUAUCAUGAUUGUUACCGAGUUCUUGCAUUAACUAUAUUCAGUUAAUGAUUGUUUUGACUUUUGAAGAUAAGUUAUCUCCUCUUUCCUUUUUGUUCUUUUCUUUUUGCUGCCAUGGGAAUAGCAGGCAAGCCUUUCAGGGAAGAUAUGUUUAUUUGAGAGCUUUCUUCUGGUUACAGAACCAUGCUUCAAAUGAAAGUCUACAUCACCUGACACCAUCAACAGCGUGGAUGCUCAAUUCUGGGAGUCCCAGAAUUCCAUCGAGUAUGUUAGGUUCAAGAUCUAGCCAGUGGUAUUUCAUGGCUUUAUAGGCAAGGAGAAUGAAUUUCAGUUUCUUCACUGCCUUGUUAGGGAAGGGAUGACACUUGGUACCCUUGGAAUCAUCUGUGACAAAGGUAUACUUGAGAGGCAAUGGGCUUCACCAGGCGGCCCGACAGACCGAGUGAUUGUCCUUCCACAUAGUGCCCACCUAUCCUUCAACAACUCGGAGGACACGAGGAUUUGGACCCGACCACCUUUCUUGACGAUGACCUUCCAUGGCGACGACCAACGUCAUGGCUUGGAGGUCCUGCCCUCCAUCCUCAUGGAGGAGGACAAGGCUGAGGAGUCUGAUGCGGUGGAGGACAUGAUGGUUAAGGAGGUUGAUGCAACCGCAAGGAGCAGCAGAACUAUGGUGACUGCCACUAUGUGUUAUUCACCUUUCUUUAGUUCAAGUGAUCAUGUCUGCUCGAAAUUUUUGCUGGGUGCCGAAAUACAAAUUUAUGCUGUGUUUUCUGGUAAGUCAAAACUAAAAAAUGUGAAAUUUGAUGGGCAAGAGCUUCUGUGCUCUUUUUUUUUCAGGUUUGCAUAUUGUGAGCAUGUAUAGAACCAUCUUUUUAUCUGCUACUGACAUGUUAUUUCAAACUUUUGUUUUUGCAUGUUGUGGUUGUUUGGUUCAACAUGGGCUAGAUGAUGUGUGCUUCUUUGCUCAAGGUUAUGUGAGCAGUACCAUCACUCCACAAGUGGGCAUUCUUUUAAUGUGAUCAUAUUGCUCUUUAGAUGUGCUAGAUGCAAAUUGUUGUAUUGGAUUCUACCGAGUUGAGGUUUCUAAGCAUGAUAUGCCGCUAGUCAAACAAGCUACGUUGUAGUUGUAAUGCAUCUGGAGUAGCACCAGUUAAAGUAGAGCAAGUUCAUCUUAUGGUGACCUGUUUUAGUUGUUCCAGAGAUUCACUAGACACACAGAGCAUCCUUAAAGGCUAAAAUAUACAGUUAGUAUGAAGAUAUGUUGGCAUUUUCAAUAUACUUGGAGGCAGUGGCAAUUCUACAGCAGCUAAUACUCCAUCAGAGAUGUGGAUAACUUGGCUGGACAAUAUGUUUUCCUCCUUGGGUAUGAGUUUUUACAACCUAUAGGAAAUUAAUGGUUUUGCUUCAAACAUCUGUUGUAUUCAACGCCCGUAUAAUAAGGAACAUGUGAAUAUAUUUACGUUGCACACUAAA
This is an RNA transcript of Phragmites australis (common reed), 2859 nucleotides long. RefSeq lists it as uncharacterized. NCBI's taxonomy places the organism in Eukaryota, Viridiplantae, Streptophyta, Magnoliopsida, Poales, Poaceae. The record is from RefSeq and is a predicted model, not a curated record. The transcript is spliced from 8 exons.